AUGGAAGUGAGGAUCCUUUCCCCAGAUGAUCGACUAUGAUUAUAAUGUGCGCAAAUGUAGUCCUUUAUCAGAGGAUUCCAAGCCAGAAAUCUGAUCCAU
Non-coding RNA from Brachypodium distachyon (stiff brome), 99 nucleotides. The record is from Rfam. NCBI's taxonomy places the organism in Eukaryota, Viridiplantae, Streptophyta, Magnoliopsida, Poales, Poaceae.